UACGUAGGGGGCCAGCGUUGUCCGGACUCAUUGGGCGUAAAGAGCGUGUAGGCGGCCAGCAAAGUCCGCUGUGAAAACUCGAGGCUCAACUUCGAGCUGUCGGUGGAAACUUUCUGGCUAGAGUCCGGAAGAGGAGAAUGGAAUUCCUGGUGUAGCGGUGAAAUGCGCAGAUAUCAGGAAGAACACCCGUGGCGAAGGCGGUUCUCUGGGACGGUACUGACGCUGAGACGCGAAAGCGUGGGGAGCGAACAGG
Molecule: ribosomal RNA, 253 nt
Filed under: uncultured bacterium
Lineage: Bacteria
Description: partial 16S ribosomal RNA
Rfam family: Bacterial small subunit ribosomal RNA
Source: RNAcentral